This 222-nucleotide unclassified non-coding RNA is filed under the name fungal sp. Its description in RNAcentral is "partial internal transcribed spacer region". The stretch from base 1 to 46 matches the Rfam family "Eukaryotic small subunit ribosomal RNA", at positions 1786 to 1831 of the family's 1831-position model. The record is from RNAcentral. Lineage: Eukaryota; Fungi.
AAGUCGUAACAAGGUUUCCGUAGGUGAACCUGCGGAAGGAUCAUUACAAAUCCAUCCACGUCUCAAUCAACCUGAGACCACGUUGAAACGUUCCCCGGGACGGGCCGCCUCGUGCGGACCGCCCUGGGCUGCUAAACUAGUGUGACCUGUUGCUCAAAUGUAUCUUGAUUUUCAAUCAAACGAAAACUAGUACAACUUAUAACAAUGGAUCUCUAGGCUCUU